CCUACGGGAGGCAGCAGUGGGGAAUUUUGGACAAUGGGGGCAACCCUGAUCCAGCAAUGCCGCGUGAGUGAAGAAGGCCUUCGGGUUGUAAAGCUCUUUUGUCAGGGAAGAAAAGGUGUUUCUUAAUACGGAAUACUCAUGACGGUACCUGAAGAAUAAGCACCGGCUAACUACGUGCCAGCAGCCGCGGUAA
Molecule: ribosomal RNA, 193 nt
Filed under: uncultured bacterium
Lineage: Bacteria
Description: partial 16S ribosomal RNA
Rfam family: Bacterial small subunit ribosomal RNA
Source: RNAcentral